This 496-nucleotide ribosomal RNA is filed under the name uncultured bacterium. RNAcentral describes it as "partial 16S ribosomal RNA". It matches the Rfam family "Bacterial small subunit ribosomal RNA", at positions 29 to 507 of the family's 1533-position model. The record is from RNAcentral.
AUGAACGCUGGCGGCGUGCCUAAUUCAUGCAAGUCGAGCGAACAGAUGAGGAGCUUGCUCCUCUGACGUUAGCGGCGGACGGGUGAGUAACACGUGGAUAACCUACCUAUAAGACUGGGAUAACUUCGGGAAACCGGAGCUAAUACCGGAUAAUAUAUUGAACCGCAUGGUUCAAUAGUGAAAGACGGUUUUGCUGUCACUUAUAGAUGGAUCCGCGCCGCAUUAGCUAGUUGGUAAGGUAACGGCUUACCAAGGCAACGAUGCGUAGCCGACCUGAGAGGGUGAUCGGCCACACUGGAACUGAGACACGGUCCAGACUCCUACGGGAGGCAGCAGUAGGGAAUCUUCCGCAAUGGGCGAAAGCUUGACGGAGCAACGCCGCGUGAGUGAUGAAGGUCUUCGGAUCGUAAAACUCUGUUAUUAGGGAAGAACAAAUGUGUAAGUAACUAUGCACGUCUUGACGGUACCUAAUCAGAAAGCCACGGCUAACUACGUG